ACCAUAAAGAUAACCAUAGGAGCAACAACAUUAGGAUCUACACAUCCUAUUUCACGAGACCCAAAGGCAAAUUAUUUACCUCAUUUUGUAAGCAUUUUUUUAAAAUAUUCAAUUUUUGUUGGAAAUAAAGAACCAUCACAUCCAAUCUUCAAUUCUUCAAAAGUCUCUUUUGUAAACUAAUUUCCAAUCUUCUUUGGAUUUCUUAAACUCUCUUCUUUUGAUGCUUCUUUCAUUUGCUCCUUAGAAUCUUCUAGUAAAGGUCCGGCAACAGGUUUUACCUUUUUAUCUACUAUUUUAUAUUUUAUUCCUACAAAAACUUCUGGUGCUUGAAAAGAUUCAAGUAUAGUAUAAACCUCCCUCGAAUGAAUUUCCACAAUUUUAUUAUUAUCUCCUAAUUCAAUAGAUGCAAUUAAUUCCAAAAAAUCCUCCAAUCCA
RNAcentral lists this long non-coding RNA (435 nucleotides) under Physcomitrium patens. RNAcentral describes it as "long non-coding RNA (PPAT_LNC007127)". Lineage: Eukaryota; Viridiplantae; Streptophyta; Bryopsida; Funariales; Funariaceae. The record is from RNAcentral.